GAUGAACGCUGGCGGCGUGCCUAAUACAUGCAAGUCGAGCGAACAGACGAGGAGCUUGCUCCUCUGACGUUAGCGGCGCGCGGGUGAGUAACACGUGGAUCACCUACCUAUAAGACUGGGAUAACUUCGGGAAACCGGAGCUAAUACCGUAUAAUAUAUUGAACCGCAUGGUUCAAUAGUGAAAGACGGUUUUGCUGUCGGUGGUAGAUGGAUCCGCGCCGUAUUAGCUUGUUGGUGGGGUCGUGGCAUACCAAGGCAACGAUGGGUAGCCGGCCUGAGAGGGUGACCGGCCACAUUGGGACUGAGAUACGGCCCAGACUCCUACGGGAGGCAGCAGUGGGGAAUAUUGCACAAUGGGCGGAAGCCUGAUGCAGCAACGCCGCGUGCGGGAUGACGGCCUUCGGGUUGUAAACCGCUUGCGCCUGUGACGAAGCGUGAGUGACGGUAAUGGGUAAAGAAGCACCGGCUAACUACGUG
This 477-nucleotide ribosomal RNA is filed under the name uncultured bacterium. RNAcentral's name for it is "partial 16S ribosomal RNA". It matches the Rfam family "Bacterial small subunit ribosomal RNA", at positions 28 to 507 of the family's 1533-position model. The record is from RNAcentral.